RNAcentral lists this unclassified non-coding RNA (241 nucleotides) under uncultured fungus. RNAcentral describes it as "sequence contains ITS2". The stretch from base 1 to 52 matches the Rfam family "5.8S ribosomal RNA", at positions 103 to 154 of the family's 154-position model. The record is from RNAcentral. Lineage: Eukaryota; Fungi.
AACGCACAUUGCGCCCCCUGGCAUUCCAGGGGGCAUGCCUGUCCGAGCGUCAGUAACGCCCGUCGAGCCUCUCCAGGCUUGGUCUUGGACCCCGCGGCCCCGCGGGUCCCAAAUCCAGUGGCAGCGCCGCAAGGCCCCCGAGCGCAGUAGAGAUGCCUCGCUCCGGGUGCUCGCGGCCGCUGGCCAGCUCCUAACCUCUAAGGUUGACCUCGGAUCAGGCAGGAAUACCCGCUGAACUUAA